AGGACAUACGGGUCUAGAGGGAAACGAGAUUGCUGAUGAGCUUGCCAGGAAUGGAUCUAAUGAAAGGUUCAUUGGCCCUGAGCCCUUCUGCGGGAUCUCAGACUGCUCUGUAAAAAUGGAACUGAACAAAUAUAUGGUCAGUCAAAUUACAUCAAACUGGAAUGCACUUCCCCAUACGAGCCAAUCCAAAAGGCUCGUAACGAUAAACCCCAAGAAAACCCAACAACUAUUAGGUCUCAACAAAAGGGAUCUCAACAUCUACACCGAUCGGAGCAAUCCAAACCUCAAAUUGCCGCUUCUGUGACGAGGAGAGGGAAACAUCAGAACACAUCCUCUGCUAUUGCAGUGCACUCACUCAACGUAGGUUCAAAGUUCUCAGCAAGCCCUUUUUAGGGCCUGCUGACAUAUGGAUCUUAUCUCCCAAGGACGUGGUUGGCUUCAUAAAGCUAGUCUCGCCAGAAUGGGGGAGUCACAUACUGUAACUCAGGAUCUCUAUUCAUCAAUAAUAGAUGGUCUUGAGUUCAGUCGAUACCUAGGUAUCUCAGUGACAAAUAUGUUACUGAGAUAACUUGCGUACCUCACAGCAAAAGGGUAUAUCACAAUAGUUCUAAAAUCUGGACGCAGUGAUCUUCA
Molecule: long non-coding RNA, 633 nt
Organism: Aedes albopictus (Asian tiger mosquito)
Lineage: Eukaryota; Metazoa; Arthropoda; Insecta; Diptera; Culicidae
Exons: 2
Source: RefSeq, a predicted model, not a curated record